Molecule: unclassified non-coding RNA, 395 nt
Filed under: fungal sp.
Lineage: Eukaryota; Fungi
Description: partial internal transcribed spacer region
Rfam family: Eukaryotic small subunit ribosomal RNA (bases 1-46)
Source: RNAcentral
AAGUCGUAACAAGGUUUCCGUAGGUGAACCUGCGGAAGGAUCAUUAACACGUAAUAAACCCCCCCGUGAACCUUCAGAAACCCGUUCUGGUGUACCCAGUGCAGCCCAGCAAUCCCGGUAAAUUAUUGUCAAACAGUUUUGAUUCGGGACUUCUGGCAAAUGCGUCACCAUUGAGCUGUUCAGUGUGGCAUGGCUUCCCCAAGGAGUCAGUGAAUGAAAGUGUCAUUGACUACGUAAGGAAGGCGCUUUACGAUUGCUAGAGGUCGAUUACCGGCCGGCGACUAUGUCACAGGUCCUCGAGACCCCUAAUAACCCCUGCCACCGAAACCCGGGUCUCGUUAAUUCGACGCCUAAAAAAUACUGAACAACUGUUAACAAUGGAUAUCUUGGUUCUC